Molecule: long non-coding RNA, 741 nt
Organism: Alosa sapidissima (American shad)
Lineage: Eukaryota; Metazoa; Chordata; Actinopteri; Clupeiformes; Clupeidae
Exons: 2
Source: RefSeq, a predicted model, not a curated record
AGGAAAUGAACCUGGGACAUCUCAUCCAAAAUAAAAGAUAUAUCACGUCCAAUCCUACGUGCCAAAUGCUGUCAUUAAAGCGAGAUGUUGGAGGUUGCAAUGCGGUCGCUGAGGGACAUCCGAGCCGAAACACUGGAACGCCCAAUAAACAGCAGUUAACCAACUAACACACUCUUGAUAGGUUGUGCAGAGGGGGUAGGCUAGGGGACUACAUUGAUCACCUGAGACUACACUAAUUUUUACACCCAUACUCAGUUUACUAGCAUAGCAUAACAUAACAAGCACAUACUGUAACUAGCAUAGCAUGAACCCUAAAAUCUAUGGUUGCUACAAGCGGCACAUCCGUGCAUUUAUUUACUUAAAGUGAACAGCAUGUUAUUUUAUGUUAGCUUACAUAAACAAAUAAAAACUCAGACGCCUUACAGUCCAUAAACAACGUCUACCUACAAAACCAUGCCUGUCACAAUCACAGACCUAGGCUAGGCUACUACAGAGUAGCCUACACAAGUCAGACGUAGGCUAGCGUACCCACAACAGGUUCUCAGUAGGUUCGCAUGUCUCUGCAAAUAGUUUCCACUACUACUUGAGCGAAACAAAUGCAAUCAUCGAUACUACUCAAUCACAAAAAGAAACCUCUUACUCACACAUGAGAAGUUCGCUCCCCCGAGUUUAUUCACCAAUUCAUCAACGAUGCAACUGCAUUUUCAGGUUGCGGUAAUCCACAAGUUGUGCGAGAACAUC